GAGCGCACAGGUGACCACGCAGAGCUCAUCAUUACAGGUAACCAUGCAGGCCGCUAAUCGAAAAAGAGCACCAGCAUGGACCGUACGGGAGGUACUGGAUCUGAUCGCUAUAUGGGGAGAGGAUUCAGUGCUAGCAGAACUACGUUCCAAAAGACGAAAUGCCAAAACUUUUGAAAAAAUCUCCAAGGGCAUGAUGGAGAGAGGCCACAAUCAGGACUCAGAUCAGUGCUGUGUGAAAGUCAAGGAGCUCAGACAAGCCUAUCAAAAAACAAAGGAGGCAAACGGUCGCUCUGGGUCAGAGCCGCGGACAUGCCGCUUCUAUGCUUAGCUGCAUGCAGUUCUAGGGGGGGCCGCCAUCACUACCCCACCUCUGACUGUGGAUUCCGAGGUGGGGGUAAUCUCAGCCACACCUGAGGAUUCUGCGGACGGGGAAGAGGAGGAGGAGGAGGAGGAGGAGGAGGACAAGCUUGCGGAGAGCACACAGCACUCCGUUCUCCCCAACAGCCAGGAUCUUUUUCUCAACCUGAGUGAAAUACCCUCCCAAGGCAGUAUCCAAGACCAUGACCCAAUGGAAGGGACCUCAGGUCAUCCAGCUAAUUCCAGCUCCAGGAAACCUGCACUAUGGGAACGUCCAGCUGUCCUCAGAGCCAUAAUCGUGGUUAUGACGGUCGUUGUCAUCGCUCUAGUAGCAGCUUUGAUAGUGGAAAAAUCUGGACAGCCUCCUCCAUGCCCCCCUGCUGCCUCCUGGUGCCCGGACGGCUGGAUCCGGAUCCAAGGGAAAUGUUACUAUUUUUCUACGCCCGAAGGGAACUGGACCUACAGCCGGAGCUUCUGCUCGUCACACGCUGCCUCCCUGGCCGGCAUUGAGAGUCUGCAGGAGCUGGUGAGAAGCCC
RNAcentral lists this long non-coding RNA (894 nucleotides) under Chrysemys picta bellii (western painted turtle). RNAcentral's name for it is "lncRNA (ENSCPBG00000006051.1)". The record is from RNAcentral. Lineage: Eukaryota; Metazoa; Chordata; Testudines; Emydidae.